This is a long non-coding RNA of Lingula anatina, 342 nucleotides long. The record is from RefSeq and is a predicted model, not a curated record. Lineage: Eukaryota; Metazoa; Brachiopoda; Lingulata; Lingulida; Lingulidae.
CUGGUAACCUUGUUGCUUUUUUGAUUGCAAUCAGUCUAACGGCUUUCAUCAUUAAAGAAUCGCAUGGUAUCUGCUGCAAUAGAGGAGUCUCAAAACUAUUUUGUUACGAUUGUUCACAGAAGCAGGGUUCCUUUUGUGGGAAAGAAAACUGCAAUAUAUUCGGUUGCGCUUGCGAGGGUGGCUGUGAUGAUAACUGUAAUCCCAUAGUCUCCGAUGCCAAGUGGUCCAUGGAUUCAGGUGGUUUCGUUUAUACUAAGUGCCGUUGUCGCAACAAGAGAUCCGUAACAGACAAAAUAAAAGAUGGAUAUGUCGCUAGGGAUGUCUCUUUCGAUAUCACUGAAA